UUUUUAGAUCUUCCUGGAGGAGCUUGCUAUCUAACCGAUAACCCACGAAAAACCUCACCAACCUUUGAAAAUAUCAACCUGUAUACCAUCGUCGUCAGUCUACCUCUUAAGAGUAGUAUACUAAAAGGGAAAUUACCCUCAACGCCAGAUCGAGGUGCAGUUAAUGGGUUGGGGAUAAGUGAGCUACAAUAUUUCACCAAACCAAAAUAUAAUUAUGGACAACUCCAUGAAAAAAAGUUCCAAACAGGAUUCAGUAGUAAUACCUUAAAGAGAGAAGAUAUGAAUUAUCCCAAAGCUCUAAAAAGCGC
Molecule: ribosomal RNA, 308 nt
Filed under: Cheiraster dawsoni
Lineage: Eukaryota; Metazoa; Echinodermata; Asteroidea; Notomyotida; Benthopectinidae
Description: partial 12S ribosomal RNA
Source: RNAcentral